This 100-nucleotide non-coding RNA is filed under the name Solirubrobacterales bacterium. Its description in RNAcentral is "SAM-I sequence". It matches the Rfam family "SAM riboswitch aptamer (S box leader)". Rfam says of the family: The SAM riboswitch is found upstream of a number of genes which code for proteins involved in methionine or cysteine biosynthesis in Gram-positive bacteria. Lineage: Bacteria; Bacillati; Actinomycetota; Thermoleophilia; Solirubrobacterales. The record is from RNAcentral.
CAUCUAUCAAGAGCGGUUGAGGGGCCCGGCCCUGUGAUGCCGCAGCAACCGAGCGGGAGUGAUCUCCCGGCAACGGUGCUAACGCCGGAUUCGAUGGAGG